GGCCUAGCUCAAUUGGUAGAGCAACUGACUUUUAAUCAGAGGGUCAGAGGUUCGAAUCCUCUAUGGCUCACCA
RNAcentral lists this transfer RNA (73 nucleotides) under Staphylococcus aureus. RNAcentral's name for it is "tRNA-Lys". The stretch from base 5 to 62 matches the Rfam family "tRNA", at positions 8 to 63 of the family's 71-position model. Rfam says of the family: Transfer RNA (tRNA) molecules are approximately 80 nucleotides in length. Their secondary structure includes four short double-helical elements and three loops (D, anti-codon, and T loops). RNAcentral also lists the same sequence under 1 other name. The record is from RNAcentral. Lineage: Bacteria; Bacillati; Bacillota; Bacilli; Caryophanales; Staphylococcaceae.